RNAcentral lists this ribosomal RNA (1343 nucleotides) under uncultured bacterium. Its description in RNAcentral is "partial 16S ribosomal RNA". It matches the Rfam family "Bacterial small subunit ribosomal RNA", at positions 28 to 1381 of the family's 1533-position model. The record is from RNAcentral.
GAUGAACGCUGGCGGCGUGCUUAACACAUGCAAGUCGAACGGAAAGGCCUCUGCUUGCAGGGGUACUCGAGUGGCGAACGGGUGAGUAACACGUGGGUGAUCUGCCCUGCACUUCGGGAUAAGCCUGGGAAACUGGGUCUAAUACCGGAUAGGACAAUGGUUUGGAUGCCGUUGUGGAAAGUUUUUCGGUGUGGGAUGAGCUCGCGGCCUAUCAGCUUGUUGGUGGGGUAAUGGCCUACCAAGGCGUCGACGGGUAGCCGGCCUGAGAGGGUGUACGGCCACAUUGGGACUGAGAUACGGCCCAGACUCCUACGGGAGGCAGCAGUGGGGAAUAUUGCACAAUGGGCGCAAGCCUGAUGCAGCGACGCCGCGUGGGGGAUGGCGGCCUUCGGGUUGUAAACUCCUUUCGCUAGGGACGAAGCGUUUUUGUGACGGUACCUGGAGAAGAAGCACCGGCUAACUACGUGCCAGCAGCCGCGGUAAUACGUAGGGUGCGAGCGUUGUCCGGAAUUACUGGGCGUAAAGAGCUCGUAGGUGGUUUGUCGCGUCGUUUGUGUAAGCCCGCAGCUUAACUGCGGGACUGCAGGCGAUACGGGCAUAACUUGAGUGCUGUAGGGGAGACUGGAAUUCCUGGUGUAGCGGUGGAAUGCGCAGAUAUCAGGAGGAACACCGAUGGCGAAGGCAGGUCUCUGGGCAGUAACUGACGCUGAGGAACGAAAGCAUGGGUAGCGAACAGGAUUAGAUACCCUGGUAGUCCAUGCCGUAAACGGUGGGCGCUAGGUGUGAGUCCCUUCCACGGGGUUCGUGCCGUAGCUAACGCAUUAAGCGCCCCGCCUGGGGAGUACGGCCGCAAGGCUAAAACUCAAAGGAAUUGACGGGGACCCGCACAAGCGGUGGAGCAUGUGGUUUAAUUCGAAGCAACGCGAAGAACCUUACUAAAUCUUGACAUCCUCUGACCCCUCUAGAGAUAGAGUUUUCCCCUUCGGGGGACAGAGUGACAGGUGGUGCAUGGUUGUCGUCAGCUCGUGUCGUGAGAUGUUGGGUUAAGUCCCGCAACGAGCGCAACCCUUAAGCUUAGUUGCCAUCAUUAAGUUGGGCACUCUAAGUUGACUGCCGGUGACAAACCGGAGGAAGGUGGGGAUGACGUCAAAUCAUCAUGCCCCUUAUGGUUUGGGCUACACACGUGCUACAAUGGACAAUACAAAGGGUAGCGAAACCGCGAGGUCAAGCAAAUCCCAUAAAGUUGUUCUCAGUUCGGAUCGUAGUCUGCAACUCGACUAUAUGAAGCUGGAAUCGCUAGUAAUCGUAGAUCAGCAUGCUACGGUGAAUACGUUCCCGGGUCU